This 301-nucleotide ribosomal RNA is filed under the name uncultured bacterium. Its description in RNAcentral is "partial 16S ribosomal RNA". It matches the Rfam family "Bacterial small subunit ribosomal RNA", at positions 509 to 809 of the family's 1533-position model. The record is from RNAcentral.
CAGCAGCCGCGAUAAUACGUAGGGUGCAAGCGUUAAUCGGAAUUACUGGGCGUAAAGCGUGCGCAGGCGGUUAUAUAAGACAGAUGUGAAAUCCCCGGGCUCAACCUGGGAACUGCAUUUGUGACUGUAUAGCUAGAGUACGGCAGAGGGGGAUGGAAUUCCGCGUGUAGCAGUGAAAUGCGUAGAUAUGCGGAGGAACACCGAUGGCGAAGGCAAUCCCCUGGGCCUGUACUGACGCUCAUGCACGAAAGCGUGGGGAGCAAACAGGAUUAGAUACCCCGGUAGUCCCUGUCUCUUAUAA